Molecule: ribosomal RNA, 783 nt
Filed under: fungal endophyte
Lineage: Eukaryota; Fungi
Description: eukaryotic LSU rRNA
Rfam family: Eukaryotic large subunit ribosomal RNA (bases 515-783)
Source: RNAcentral
AUUACAGAGUUAUCUAACUCCCAAACCCAUGUGAACUUACCAUUGUUGCCUCGGCAGAACCUACCCGGUACCUACCCUGUAACGACCUACCCUGUAGCGAGUUACCCGGGAACGGCCUACCCUGUAGUGCGCUGCCGGUGGACUUCUAAACUCUUGUUAUUUAUUGUAAUCUGAGCGUCUUAUUUUAAUAAGUCAAAACUUUCAACAACGGAUCUCUUGGUUCUGGCAUCGAUGAAGAACGCAGCGAAAUGCGAUACGUAAUGUGAAUUGCAGAAUUCAGUGAAUCAUCGAAUCUUUGAACGCACAUUGCGCCCAUUAGUAUUCUAGUGGGCAUGCCUGUUCGAGCGUCAUUUCAACCCUUAAGCCUAGCUUAGUGUUGGGAAUCUACUGAGUAAUCGGUAGUUCCCCAAAUGCAACGGCGGAUCUGUGGUAUCCUCUGAGCGUAGUAAUUUUUAUCUCGCUUUUGUUAGGUGCUGCAGCUCCCAGCCGCUAAACCCCCCAAUUUUUUAAUGGUUGACCUCGGAUCAGGUAGGAAUACCCGCUGAACUUAAGCAUAUCAAUAAGCGGAGGAAAAGAAACCAACAGGGAUUGCCCUAGUAACGGCGAGUGAAGCGGCAACAGCUCAAAUUUGAAAUCUGGCCCUUGGGUCCGAAUUGUAAUUUGUAGAGGAUGUUUUUGGUGCGGUAUCUUCCGAGUUCCUUGGAACAGGACGCCUUAGAGGGUGAGAGCCCCGUACGGUUGAAUGCCUAGCCUUUGUAAAACUCCUUCGACGAGUCGAGUAGU